RNAcentral lists this long non-coding RNA (5587 nucleotides) under Malus domestica (apple). Its description in RNAcentral is "long non-coding RNA (MDOM_LNC005671)". The record is from RNAcentral. Lineage: Eukaryota; Viridiplantae; Streptophyta; Magnoliopsida; Rosales; Rosaceae.
AAUCAUGUAGGGGACUUGUGGGGAAUGCUUUGGGUUGUCGUAUGCAAUCAUCCAAUUCAAUAACGUUAGGAAAAAUCUGAAGGUUAAUUUAAGCGGACCUAAUUAACUUGGGGCAUUGAGAAUUCAUGGGUUAUUGAAAAGCAAUUGGAAAUCGUUUUGAAUACAAGUCUAACAUGUGUGGAGAUGAACCCCUUAGCUAGCUUUCUAUCCAUUCAAUUCAAUCAAAUUCGUUUUAAAAUCUGUUUUGAUUUACAAGUUUAUGUUUGUUUUCAAUUUCGUAAAAACCAAAUCCCCCUUUGUUUUCAAGUGUCAAAUUAGUUAGAGAGUGUGUUAGUUUGUGUUUUUAAGUGUUUUGAGUCAAGGUAAAACCUAUUUUCGUCAAAAUCUUGUUUAGAGUUCAAAACUGCCCAGAAAGUGGUUUUAAGGCAGUUUUGAGUGUUUUUGUGUUAUUUUGAGUCUUUUGGUUUGUUUUGGUGUUUUAAGUUAUAGUUUUACAUUCUUUGAGUCUAGUUUAGUGUUUUAAACUUUGUUUUUACGUUUUUGAGUCAGUUUUCAAGUGAUUUAGCAAUCCCUCCUAAUCCCCGGCCUAGAACGAUCCCUACUUACAUACUUACUACAAUUGAUAAAAAGAGGGUUAAUUUGAGUGCUAGUUAAUAUCAUAUCAAAUUUUGGCGCCGUUGCCGGGGAUUAGCAACUUUGCUAAUCCCUUGGUUCUUUUCUUUUUGUUUAGUUUGUUUCUGUUUUAGUUUCUGACUUAGUUUUGUUUUCCUUUUUUUUGUGUUACUUUUGAUAUUUGAUUUAGUUCUCUUUCUUUGAUUUUAGGUACUAGAGAAGUAAGACAUGGAUUUUGCUAGCAUUCAAGCUCAAUUAGCAAAUCUUACUUCUCAAUUGUCACAGAUUGCCGAAAGUACCACAAUGCAAAGUGUCCCUACAUUUGGUGCAUCUUAUAGGCAAGGAUACCAAGCCAAUCUAUAUCCACAAAGCGAUUGGAGUGAUCAUUCAAACUCUAUGUGGUGGGAAGCUCAACAAGUUCAACACAAAGCAUAUUGGCAGCCAUAUGAAGAGUUCUAUUCAAGACCUAUGCAGCCACCACAACCUCAUAUACAAUAUGCUCAAUCAAAUUUAGGUUCGUCAAUAGAUUAUAUAAUCAAAUUCUUAAUGAAUUAAAUUCUUUGUUGCAGGGCUCACAAAAUCAAGCCAAGGAGGAUCAACAAGGUGGAUAUUGGCAGCAAGAAGAGGAGUUCUAUCAUUGGCCAUAUGAACUAUCACAUCCAUCACAACAAUUUGCCCAAUUCAAUUCAGGUACGUCUUUGGAUAAUGAUAUGUUUAAUAAGUUACUCACCUCUUUGUACCAGGAAGUAGAAAAUCGAAACAAAGAGAUGCCAAUUCAAACCAAGAAGACGGGUGAAUUGGAGAAGCAUAUUGGGCAGAUUAUGGAGUUCAUGGCACACAUUCAAGAGCAAAGUGAAGUUUCCAACUCAACUAUUGAAAAUUCGAAGGAAGAUUUUGAAAUCCAUGAUGCUAUCACUUUGGGAAGGGCUAUGGAGGUUGGAGCUGACCUAAAAACGUCCAAACAUUGCCUAGAAGUGGAUGAGGAGCUGCUGAUUGAGGAGGAGGAAGAAGACAUACACACGGCAAGGGUAGAACAACCCUUGCCGCAACCCCCUAAGCCUUCUAACCCACCCACCACAAGUAAGGACGUCCCAAUUUCAUUUCAUUCUAAUGUUAUUCCUCCCAAUGUCCAUUUUCCUAGCAGGUUUUUGAUUCCCAAGCAAGAAGAGAGUGAAAAAGACAUUGUGGCAGCUCUUCCAAAGGUGCAAAAGGAUAUUCCAAUUCUUGGUGCAACAAAGCAAGCUCUAGAUCGUGUUGAAUAUUUCAAAGGCCUUUGUUUCCCAAGAAGAAUGAAUGAUUCAAGAGAAAGUAGUGGCUAAAGAAUGUCAAGACUUCAUCAAAGAGGACAAAUUUGAAACAACAAAGCCCAAAGAAGUUGAAUUUGAUGACAUUGGACAAGUCACAACCAUCAUAGUAAAUCUGGCCAAGUCCAAUAUCCCUGAAACGUUCAAAGGAGUGGUGUUUGUCAUUGAGUUCUUGUCGGACAAAGCAAGUAAGUCAUCUUCUCCAAUUUCCAUUACAUUUUAUACUAACUUGCUGAUUUUGAUGAAUCAGGUACCUACACUAGAAUCUAAACCAAUGCCGGUUCAUUUCAAGUAUCAUCGUCCAUUCAAAGAUCAAAUCCAUGCCGUGGGACCUAGGAAUUGCUCUAACAACCAGAUUUGAGUUUCUAAAACCCUUCACUUUGUUGCUUGUUUCUAAUCUGCCAGUUUUGUUUUUAACUUGCUGUUUGUGUGUUUCUUUGUGUUUUGUGUGAGUUUAUGCUUGAAACAUUGAGGACAAUGUUUGAUUUAAGUGUGGGGGGGGUAAAUUUUUGAGUGUUUUAGAUGCAAAUUCGUGGGAUUUUAUCACCCUUAACUUGGAUACUUGCUGUUUUUAAGUGUUUUUGAGCAGUUUUGAUGUGUUUUUGUGUGUUUUGAUGCAAAAAUCCGAAAAUCACAUAAAAAUUUGAAAAAUUUGUUUUAAAAAAUCCAAAAAGAGUUGUUUUUGUGUGUUUGUUGUGUCUUAGGGUACCUUCCAACACAAUGAUGAUGAUUCGGUUUGUAAUUACAUGGCUGUUAAAGAGAGUGAUUAACGUGGAUGAAAGUUUGAUUUACUCUUUGUUUAUGCUUGGUUGUGGUUAUAACUUAUGAAUUCACAUGCAAUCAUAAAAGAAAAAAAUCAGUUUUUGUAACAUGCUUGAAGGAAGGAACUCAAACAAACGCUACAACCUUGUGAGACUUGAGCCUAAACGUUUAUUUGGAGAGUUAAAAUCUGUGCAUUGUUGUUUUCUAAAGUCGUUGCAUGAUCUCAUUAUUCUUUGCUUGGUUAUUACUUAGAAGGCGUUUCAUCAUUUAGUUCCAAAUGCUAGAACUCAUGCCAAUUUCAUUCAAAACAUGUUAUUGAAUUACAUAACACAUAUUCAAGAUGAAGUUAGUAGUUACCACCAUAGCCAAAAAGCCUUCAUUCCAUGCAGUCGUUUUUGUAGGUUUUAACCCCGUUGAGCCUUGUUUAGCCUAUGUUUUCUUCGUUAACCCACAUUAUCCUCACCUAGCCUAGAUUAGGACCAUCCAUACCUUCGUUCUUGAAGCAUAGUAAAGAAUGACUUCAAAAUGAAUUCCUUUUGGUCAUUGUUGGCAGAAAAACAAGUGUGGGGGAAGUGAGUUUUUUUGUGGGUGUGCCAAAGUCUUGAAUGAGGCAUGAAAAAGAAAAGAAAAAAAAAAUUCGUGGAAAAAGAAAAAAAAAAUUGAAGAAAAAAGUAUGAAAAGUUUGAAAAAAGAGUUGAAAAGUUGAGAAAAAGAGUUCUUAAAGUGUUGUUUGUUGAAGGAAGGGUCCAAAACAAUGAAUUCGGCCCUAAUUGUUGUUGAAUCUUCCCUUUGUGUUUAAAAGUUAAUUUCUGCAUGCUAAUGGGAAUUCUGAAGUACGAUUUCAUUGUUUUGCUUACUAUUGCUUAAAGAACGUUUGUUUUCCCUAUCCUUUCGUUGUUAGCCAACUCCCCUAGCCCCGUUACAACCCUUGACUUUAAUCUUGAGUGUUAUGUGUUUCAAUUUGUGGAGUUUAAAAUUGGUAUGAGCAUAUGGUGUCACUGGUUCUCGCAUCUAAGUAGUAGCAUUCCAUUCAUGAGAUCAUAUCUAAACAUGCUUAUUAACUCCGAAAAGUGCUUUCUUUGUUAUACAUAUAUGUGAGCAUUCGUUUUCAUGUUUAUAACAAUCUUCUCACAUAUAUAGGGUGUGUAGUCAGAAUAUCUGAGUGAAAAUUGAGUGCAUAUCUAGUAAGGAAUUGAGCACAUUCUCUAAGGCAUGUUACUACAUUCAAAAUCAUGUUUUAAUUGGUUAAAUGUGAACUAGUACGUGGUGACUAUGAUUAAGUAUGUGCUUAAGUGUGAAGAUGACUAAAAUCUGUGGGAGUGAUGAUUUUUAACAUGUCAUGUGCAUUGGAAAUCCCUGAGGCAAAUGUUGGAAGGUUUAGAUUGUGUUUUUGUUUUGUUUGGUUUCUUUGCUUUGCUCGAGGACUAGCAAAAGCUAAGUGUGGGGGAAUUUGAUAGGAGCAUAUUUAUGCGACUUAGUUGGCUUGUUCUUAAGCAUUUAUGUUGUUUUUCUUUAGUUAUUUUAGUGUUUAAAGUCAUUUUCGUGCAAUUUCAGGUUUAGAGACGAAGUAUGCAAAGAAGUGCAAAAUGGAGCAUUUUAGAGCAAAAUUGAGCUAGAAUGGAGUGUAUGCUAAUGGAGCACAAGGAAUGGACGAGUUUGAAGGUCAAAUGAGCUUAAGAAAUGAAGAAAUGAAAGUGAAGAACAAAGAAUUCAGAUUUGGAAACCAAAGUUUCUAAAGUUGGAAGUUUCUAUUCUUGGAGGUUUCCAUUUUCGAGAGUUUCUAUUCUUGGUUUUGGGCUUUUAGAUGACCUAAACCCUAAUUCCUUGUGGACCCUAACCCUAGCCGCACCUUAGGCCUUAUUCCCACUAAAAAUCUGAUUGUUUUAACCUAAUUUCUGGUGGAUUUGGGCUUCUAGAAACCCUAAUCUGAUUACCCUAGGGUUUUGGAUGCCUAUAUAUACUCAUUAUAACCCCUAGAUCAGAUCAUCACCUCUCAUACAUAACCAUUCACGCCAGAAAUUAAACCUUGAUUUCUGCCGCACCUUUCCAUCACCAAAGUCCCCAAAAUUCUGCCCAAAAUCAUCCCUAGCCGUACCCCCAUCAACCCUAAACCUCUCCAUACCAUUCCCCAUCCAUUCUACACCACAAAUAACCCCAAAAACCUGUUCUAAAGUCUCUGCCGCAGCAAGGAGGAAGGAGAAUUCGUUGGAUGCGCUUGCUGCCAAGUUGGAGCGUUCUAGGUGUUUUCUUUCUUUGGAUUUUAAUUUUCUAAAUUUAUGUAUCUUGGCUUUGCGAGUAUGAGGAACUAAACCCCCCUUGGCUAGGGGGGGAUUCGAAACCAUGUUUAUGCUUGCUAUAUGAUUUGAUUACUUCUAAUUGCGUUUCAUAAGUUGGGAAUUCAAUUUACUUAUCUACAAGAAUUAAAACUGAUUUGUGUAUGUUGGUUGAGGGUCGACACUUAAUUUGCAUGCAUGAAUUUGAUGCUAGGAUAUAAGGAAAUUUCACCUAAUCGUUAUGGACUUAUAUUCAUAAGUAGUAAAGGUUGAUGAUCUCAAUCGCGUUAAGUAAAUUCUUGGCAUAAGUUUCAUGCAAUCAUAGUAACAAGUGCUUCGUCAAUGCUUAUGGUUUUCAUAGAACUUAAUGAUUCUUGCUUGUAUCUCUAUUAUGCAAUCAUGUAGGGGACUUGUGGGGAAUGCUUUGGGUUGUCGUAUGCAAUCAUCCAAUUCAAUAACGUUAGGAAAAAUCUGAAGGUUAAUUUAAGCGGACCUAAUUAACUUGGGGCAUUGAGAAUUCAUGGGUUAUUGAAAAGCAAUUGGAAAUCGUUUUGAAUACAAGUCUAACAUGUGUGGAGAUGAACCCCUUAGCUAGCUUUCUAUCCAUUCAAUUCAAUCAAAUUCGUUUUAAAAUCU